This 1050-nucleotide ribosomal RNA is filed under the name uncultured bacterium. RNAcentral's name for it is "bacterial SSU rRNA". It matches the Rfam family "Bacterial small subunit ribosomal RNA", at positions 28 to 1052 of the family's 1533-position model. The record is from RNAcentral.
AACGAACGCUGGCGGCGUGGAUAACACAUGCAAGUCGAGCGGGAUUUUUCGCGGUAGCAAUACAGUGGAAAAUUCAGCGGCGAACGGGUGCGUAACACGUGGGCAAUUUGCCUUAAAGUGUGGGAUAGCUCGGCGAAAGCCGAAUUAAUACCGCAUGUGGCUACUGGAGACAUCUUCGGGACGCUAAAGGUGGCGCAAGCUACCGCUUUUUGAGGAGCCCGCGGCCUAUCAGCUUGUUGGUGAGGUAACGGCUCACCAAGGCGUUGACGGGUAGCUGGUCUGAGAGGACGACCAGCCACACUGGGACUGAGACACGGCCCAGACACCUACGGGUGGCAGCAGUCGAGAAUUUUUGACAAUGGGGGAAACCCUGAUCGAGCGACGCCGCGUGGAGGAUGAAGGUCUUCGGGUUGUAAACUCCUGUCAUUUGGGAACAAGGCGUAUGUAUUAACUGUACGUGCGUUGAUAGUACCAGAAGAGGAAGAGACGGCUAACUCUGUGCCAGCAGCCGCGGUAAUACAGAGGUCUCAAGCGUUGUUCGGAUUCAUUGGGCGUAAAGGGUGUGUAGGUGGCGCGCUAAGUCGGGUGUGAAAUUUCGGAGCUUAACUCCGAAACUGCAUUCGAUACUGGCGUGCUUGAGGACUGGAGAGGAGACUGGAAUUUACGGUGUAGCAGUGAAAUGCGUAGAUAUCGUAAGGAAGACCAGUGGCGAAGGCGGGUCUCUGGACAGUUCCUGACACUGAGACACGAAGGCCAGGGGAGCAAACGGGAUUAGAUACCCCGGUAGUCCUGGCAGUAAACGGUGCACGUUUGGUGUGGGAGGAUUCGACCCCUUCUGCGCCGGAGCCAACGCGUUAAACGUGCCGCCUGGGGAGUACGGUCGCAAGAUUAAAACUCAAAGAAAUUGACGGGGGCCCGCACAAGCGGUGGAGUAUGUGGCUCAAUUCGAUGCAACGCGGAGAACCUUACCAGGCCUUGACAUGCAUCUCUAAGUUGGUGAAAGCCAGCGAGUGUCGAAAGACCCAAUUUGCACAGGUGCUGCAUGGCUGU